AAUAAAAAGUUUUGGGGAGUAAAUGUUUGAGGGAAAUUAAAUAGGGGGAGUAAAAUUUUGGAGGGAAAAUAUUUAAAAAAAAUUGGGGGGGGGAUGGGUUUGGGGUAGAUGGGGGCUGGGAUGGGAAGGAAAUAAAAGUUUUAGGGGAAAAGUAGGAGAGAGUAAAAAUUUUGGGGGAAAAUAAAAAGUUGUGAGGGUUUUUUAGAGUAAAAUUUGGAGGAAAAGUAAAUGAGAGAGUAAAAUUUUGGUGGGAAAUGAAUUUUGGGUAGAUGGGGGGGGGUUAAGAUGAGAG
Molecule: long non-coding RNA, 292 nt
Filed under: Gossypium raimondii (Peruvian cotton)
Lineage: Eukaryota; Viridiplantae; Streptophyta; Magnoliopsida; Malvales; Malvaceae
Description: long non-coding RNA (GRAI_LNC009837)
Source: RNAcentral